RNAcentral lists this ribosomal RNA (449 nucleotides) under uncultured bacterium. Its description in RNAcentral is "partial 16S ribosomal RNA". It matches the Rfam family "Bacterial small subunit ribosomal RNA", at positions 29 to 523 of the family's 1533-position model. The record is from RNAcentral.
AACGAACGCUGGCGGCAAGCCUAACACAUGCAAGUCGAACGAGAUCUUCGGGUCUAGUGGCGCACGGGUGCGUAACGCGUGGGAAUCUGCCCUUUGGUUCGGAAUAACAGUUGGAAACGACUGCUACUACCGGAUGAUGACGAAAGUCCAAUGAUUUAUCGCCAGAGGAUGAGCCCGCGUAGGAGUAGCUAGUUGGUGUGGUAAAGGCGCACCAAGGCGACGUUCCUUAGCUGGUCUGAGAGGAUGAUCAGUCACACUGGGACUGAUACACGGCCCGGACUCCUACGGGAGGCAGCAGUGGGGAAUAUUGGACAAUGGGCGAAAGCCUGUUCCAGCAAUGCCGCGUGAGUGAUGAAGGCCUUGGGGUUGUAAAGCUCUUUUACCCGGGAUGAUAAUGACAGUACCGGGAGAAUAAGCUCCGGCUAACUCCGUGCCAGCCGCCGCUGUAA